Molecule: ribosomal RNA, 1400 nt
Filed under: Streptococcus thermophilus
Lineage: Bacteria; Bacillati; Bacillota; Bacilli; Lactobacillales; Streptococcaceae
Description: bacterial SSU rRNA
Rfam family: Bacterial small subunit ribosomal RNA
Source: RNAcentral
UGCAAGUAGAACGCUGAAGAGAGGAACUUGCUCUUCUUGGAUGAGUUGCGAACGGGUGAGUAACGCGUAGGUAACCUGCCUUGUAGCGGGGGAUAACUAUUGGAAACGAUAGCUAAUACCGCAUAACAAUGGAUGACACAUGUCAUUUAUUUGAAAGGGGCAAUUGCUCCACUACAAGAUGGACCUGCGUUGUAUUAGCUAGUAGGUGAGGUAAUGGCUCACCUAGGCGACGAUACAUAGCCGACCUGAGAGGGUGAUCGGCCACACUGGGACUGAGACACGGCCCAGACUCCUACGGGAGGCAGCAGUAGGGAAUCUUCGGCAAUGGGGGCAACCCUGACCGAGCAACGCCGCGUGAGUGAAGAAGGUUUUCGGAUCGUAAAGCUCUGUUGUAAGUCAAGAACGGGUGUGAGAGUGGAAAGUUCACACUGUGACGGUAGCUUACCAGAAAGGGACGGCUAACUACGUGCCAGCAGCCGCGGUAAUACGUAGGUCCCGAGCGUUGUCCGGAUUUAUUGGGCGUAAAGCGAGCGCAGGCGGUUUGAUAAGUCUGAAGUUAAAGGGCUGUGGCUCAACCAUAGUUCGCUUUGGAAACUGUCAAACUUGAGUGCAGAAGGGGAGAGUGGAAUUCCAUGUGUAGCGGUGAAAUGCGUAGAUAUAUGGAGGAACACCGGUGGCGAAAGCGGCUCUCUGGUCUGUAACUGACGCUGAGGCUCGAAAGCGUGGGGAGCGAACAGGAUUAGAUACCCUGGUAGUCCACGCCGUAAACGAUGAGUGCUAGGUGUUGGAUCCUUUCCGGGAUUCAGUGCCGCAGCUAACGCAUUAAGCACUCCGCCUGGGGAGUACGACCGCAAGGUUGAAACUCAAAGGAAUUGACGGGGGCCCGCACAAGCGGUGGAGCAUGUGGUUUAAUUCGAAGCAACGCGAAGAACCUUACCAGGUCUUGACAUCCCGAUGCUAUUUCUAGAGAUAGAAAGUUACUUCGGUACAUCGGUGACAGGUGGUGCAUGGUUGUCGUCAGCUCGUGUCGUGAGAUGUUGGGUUAAGUCCCGCAACGAGCGCAACCCCUAUUGUUAGUUGCCAUCAUUCAGUUGGGCACUCUAGCGAGACUGCCGGUAAUAAACCGGAGGAAGGUGGGGAUGACGUCAAAUCAUCAUGCCCCUUAUGACCUGGGCUACACACGUGCUACAAUGGUUGGUACAACGAGUUGCGAGUCGGUGACGGCGAGCUAAUCUCUUAAAGCCAAUCUCAGUUCGGAUUGUAGGCUGCAACUCGCCUACAUGAAGUCGGAAUCGCUAGUAAUCGCGGAUCAGCACGCCGCGGUGAAUACGUUCCCGGGCCUUGUACACACCGCCCGUCACACCACGAGAGUUUGUAACACCCGAAGUCGGAGAGGUAAC